RNAcentral lists this ribosomal RNA (688 nucleotides) under uncultured bacterium. RNAcentral describes it as "bacterial SSU rRNA". It matches the Rfam family "Bacterial small subunit ribosomal RNA", at positions 126 to 812 of the family's 1533-position model. The record is from RNAcentral.
CUGCCCCUGUCAGGGGGACAACCCGCCGAAAGGCGGGCUAAACCCGCGUACAUGCCACCGGGGCAUCCCGGAGGCAGGAAAGGCUUCGGCCGGACAGGGAUGGGCAUGCGGCGCAUUAGGCAGUAGGCGGGGUAACGGCCCACCUAACCGACGAUGCGUAGGGGUUCUGAGAGGAAGGUCCCCCACACUGGUACUGAGACACGGACCAGACUCCUACGGGAGGCAGCAGUGAGGAAUAUUGGUCAAUGGUCGGGAGACUGAACCAGCCAAGCCGCGUGAGGGAUGAAGGUACAGAGUAUCGUAAACCUCUUUUGUCAGGGAACAAAGGCGGGGACGUGUCCCCGGAUGAGUGUACCUGAAGAAAAAGCAUCGGCUAACUCCGUGCCAGCAGCCGCGGUAAUACGGAGGAUGCGAGCGUUAUCCGGAUUUAUUGGGUUUAAAGGGUGCGCAGGCGGUCUGUUAAGUCAGCGGUCAAAGCCCGGGGCUCAACCCCGGCCCGCCGUUGAAACUGGCAGUCUCGAGUUGGAGAGAAGUAUGCGGAAUGCGCGGUGUAGCGGUGAGAUGCAUAGAUAUCGCGCAGAACUCCGAUUGCGAAGGCAGCAUGCCGGCUCCACACUGACGCUGAGGCACGAAAGCGUGGGUAUCGAACAGGAUUAGAUACCCUGGUAGUCCACGCAGUAAACGAUGA